GACGAACGCUGGCGGCGUGCUUAACACAUGCAAGUCGAACGAAGUGGCGAACGGGUGAGUAACGCGUAAUCAACCUGCCCUUCAGAGGGGGACAACAGUUGGAAACGACUGCUAAUACCGCAUACUGAAGGAGGGGAUUGCGUCUGCUUAGCUAGUUGGAGGGGUAACGGCCCACCAAGUCGAUGAUCAGUAGGCUGUCUGAGAGGAUGAACGGGCACAUGGGGACUGAGACAAGGCCCAGACUCCUACGGUCGGCAGCAGGGGGGAAUCGUCCGAAAUGGAGGAAAGUCUGACGGAGCAACGCCGGGUUAGUGAGGACGGCCGUCGGGUUGUAAAGCUCUGUUAAUCGGGACGCGGUACCGGAAUAGAAAGCCACGGCUAACUACGUGCCAGCAGCCGCGGUAAUAC
RNAcentral lists this ribosomal RNA (408 nucleotides) under uncultured bacterium. RNAcentral's name for it is "partial 16S ribosomal RNA". It matches the Rfam family "Bacterial small subunit ribosomal RNA", at positions 28 to 526 of the family's 1533-position model. The record is from RNAcentral.